AGAUAAAAACCCUCGUAAUCACUGAUUACAAAGGCUUUUAUCUGGAGCCCUCUUGCGAGAGCUCCAUCAUGGGAGAGGAGAAACCGGACGAAGAGCUUAUGGGGAAACGUAAGUCUUCUCCGCGG
Molecule: regulatory RNA element, 125 nt
Organism: Paenibacillus selenitireducens
Lineage: Bacteria; Bacillati; Bacillota; Bacilli; Caryophanales; Paenibacillaceae
Rfam family: ylbH leader
About the family: This family is a putative regulatory RNA structure that is found upstream of the ylbH gene in B. subtilis and related low GC Gram-positive bacteria.
Source: Rfam